UACGAAGGGGGCUAGCGUUGUUCGGAAUCACUGGGCGUAAAGCGCACGUAGGCGGAUCUUUAAGUCAGGGGUGAAAUCCUGGAGCUCAACUCCAGAACUGCCUUUGAUACUGGGAAGCUUGAGUCCGGAAGAGGUGAGUGGAACUCCGAGUGUAGAGGUGAAAUUCGUAGAUAUUCGGAAGAACACCAGUGGCGAAGGCGGCUCACUGGUCCGGUACUGACGCUGAUGUGCGAAAGCGUGGGGAGCAAACAGG
This 253-nucleotide ribosomal RNA is filed under the name uncultured bacterium. RNAcentral describes it as "partial 16S ribosomal RNA". It matches the Rfam family "Bacterial small subunit ribosomal RNA", at positions 524 to 776 of the family's 1533-position model. The record is from RNAcentral.